UACGGGAGGCAGCAGUGGGGAAUAUUGCACAAUGGGCGAAAGCCUGAUGCAGCUAUGCCGCGUGUAUGAAGAAGGCCUUAGGGUUGUAAAGUACUUUCAUCGGGGAGGAAAAAACAAAACUAAUAAUUUUAUUUCUUGACGUUACCCGAAAAAGAAGCACCGGCUAACUCCGUGCCAGCAGCCGCGGUAAUACGGAGGGUGCUAGCGUUAAUCAGAAUUACUGGGCGUAAAGAGCACGUAGGUGGUUUUUUAAGUCAGAUGUGAAAUCCCUGGGCUUAACCUAGGAACUGCAUUUUGAAACUGAAAUACUAGAGUAUCGUAGAGGGAGGUAGAAUUCUAGGUGUAGCGGUGAAAUGCGUAGAUAUCUGGAGGAAUACCUGUGGCGAAAGCGGCCUCCUAAACGAAUACUGACACUGAGGUGCGAAAGCGUUGGGGAGCGAAACAGGGAUUAGAUACC
This 457-nucleotide ribosomal RNA is filed under the name uncultured bacterium. RNAcentral describes it as "bacterial SSU rRNA". It matches the Rfam family "Bacterial small subunit ribosomal RNA", at positions 340 to 786 of the family's 1533-position model. The record is from RNAcentral.